Camellia sinensis is the source of this 601-nucleotide non-coding RNA. NCBI's taxonomy places the organism in Eukaryota, Viridiplantae, Streptophyta, Magnoliopsida, Ericales, Theaceae. The record is from RefSeq and is a predicted model, not a curated record.
ACAGAUGUCUUUGGAGGCAGAUAUAGGCAAUCGUAAGAACAAACUCGUAUCAUCCAAACGCAAGUCCAAGAGCAACUUAACCAAUAUAAAGCACAAAUGGAGAUGCAAAUGAAGGAGAUGAUGGAUGCUAUGCUUAAUCAACAGAAAGUACAAAUGGAGAUGCAAAGCACAAUCCAAGCUCAAUAAGCCCGAAUAGAGCAAUUGGAGUCUCAACAGGCCAUGGGUGGGCCUGUUGCACCAGCUGCUACACAUGUGCAUUCACAACAACAAUCCCAUGCAUACACCUCAUCGUUUAAUUGUCAUCAUUCGUCCGAGGAAGUUCACAUAUCAAAGAAAGAAAAGAAGAAGAAGAAGAAGAAGUAGAUAUGACAAACUCAGAGUGAUGCAGAUAAAUUGAAUAGGAGGCUUGUUCGCUUGAAGUCAACAAACCGUACUCGAGAAAGGUUGAGGCGUAAUGGCUUUUUGGGAUUGUUUGGACACAAGGUUGAUCUUUUAGAUUACCAUGAAAAGAAGCUACAAGACUUGGAAGAUAACAUGCGGAUAGAGCAAUCUUCACUGGUGGGAAAGGUACGUGCAUUGAGUGUCUUAUCAAGUUAUCAUU